Molecule: ribosomal RNA, 401 nt
Filed under: uncultured Desulfuromonadales bacterium
Lineage: Bacteria; Pseudomonadati; Thermodesulfobacteriota; Desulfuromonadia; Desulfuromonadales
Description: bacterial SSU rRNA
Rfam family: Bacterial small subunit ribosomal RNA
Source: RNAcentral
UGGCGCACGGGUGAGUAACGCGUGGAUAAUCUACCCGAUGAUCUGGGAUAACAUUUCGAAAGGGGUGCUAAUACCGGAUAAGACCACGGGCUCUUCGGAGUCUGCGGUAAAAGGUGGGGACCUUCGGGCCUACCGUUAUCGGAUGAGUCCGCGUACCAUUAGCUAGUUGGUGGGGUAAGAGCCUACCAAGGCGACGAUGGUUAGCUGGUCUGAGAGGAUGAUCAGCUACACUGGAACUGAGACACGGUCCAGACUCCUACGGGAGGCAGCAGUGGGGAAUUUUGCGCAAUGGGGGAAACCCUGACGCAGCAACGCCGCGUGAGUGAUGAAGGCCUUCGGGUCGUAAAGCUCUGUCUAGAGGGAAGAAAUGAUAGUCGGUUAAUACCCGGUUUUCUUGACGG